AUCCAACUGACUAGUCCUAAACAGGACGAAAUGCUCAUUCUGGAC
Molecule: non-coding RNA, 45 nt
Filed under: Trichobilharzia regenti
Lineage: Eukaryota; Metazoa; Platyhelminthes; Trematoda; Strigeidida; Schistosomatidae
Source: RNAcentral